RNAcentral lists this long non-coding RNA (519 nucleotides) under Vigna radiata. RNAcentral's name for it is "long non-coding RNA (VRAD_LNC001108)". Lineage: Eukaryota; Viridiplantae; Streptophyta; Magnoliopsida; Fabales; Fabaceae. The record is from RNAcentral.
UUCCUUGAUUAUGCCAAUAUCGCCUAUGGAUAGGGGUAGGACGGUCAAUUGUAUUUGCUUCCGAUCGCAUUGCAUUAUUGGUUACUAGGGGAGGCUAGGGAUAGCAAGCCGGUAAUUAAUAAUAGGCUCUUUUCACCAAGGGAUUGGGUUAAGGGUAAACUAGAAAGUUUGCAUGACAAUUAGAUAAAUAAGUGAAGUAAAUAAGAAGAGUAGAUAUAUGAGAGUGGGUAAGAUGAAAUUGUAAACCCCAACAACACCAUUCAUCCAUAGUUUCUCAAAACUAAUUGAAUCAACUGCAUUGCAUGUUUAUUUUUGUUCUUUGCAUAUAACCACCAAAUUUAUUCUUUUCUCAAGUCUUACGCGAUUUUUUUACAUGAAAGUUAAGGCCUAAGAGUCCUUUGGGGAAAACGAUACUCGGACUUACCCGUUUAUAUUACUUGAUAACGAUCUGGUACACUUGUUAGGGGCUUAACAACAACCCUGUAUCUUGGAUGAUAAAUACACAAAGGACAAUAGCCC